Molecule: long non-coding RNA, 1316 nt
Filed under: Cricetulus griseus (Chinese hamster)
Lineage: Eukaryota; Metazoa; Chordata; Mammalia; Rodentia; Cricetidae
Description: lncRNA (ENSCGRG00015043442.1)
Source: RNAcentral
UUUUUCUCUGAGUCAUCUUUAAGGAGCCUGCGCCUGCUGACACACAGACCACUAGCCAGCCGGUCUGCACAACGGCCUGCAGACUUUCUGCUCACUCCAUUAGACCCUAGACAGAGAGCAGGAGCCUACACUCAGCCCUCAGGAGCUGAAUGGAGGCAACGGCAGGGACUAGUCUAAUUGACGGUACUGGCAUAAUGACAACUUCGGCCAUACUGUGGAACAAUUUAUUAUGCAUUAUAAGAGCACCACAGAGUAUACAGUAUGACAUACUUGUGCACGCCAUUUUAAUUUUAAGACAACCUGUGAGUUAUGGCUGCAGUGUGACUACUGUUAAAAGUCUCUGCCUUGACUUCCACGGAAUGAUGUGCUACAGCCUGGAAUUAUUGGUUUCCAUGGACACCGAGACCUGAUGCCUCCUUGUCGCAGCUGAGGAGGUCCUUCCUGUCUGGCUCACAUUCUCCACCACACACAGCUGACUUCUUCCUGCUGCUACAACCUCGAUGAACACAACUUCACCCUAAUACUUACUUGUUUUACGCAUCAUGAAAUAAGUGCUUUCCAUAAAGUCCCCACAAUAUCAUUUACAGUUGUAAAAAUAUUGUAUUUUUGUGAGACAUGACUCAUUGAGGCUUAGAUUGAGAAUAAUUAAAAUCUGUACAUUGAGGGCGUGAACUGUGGUAUCAGUUUGCAUUUUGCAUUAGUGGAAGAUAGGUGGGAAAAUUAACACUGAAAUGAAAAGAAAUUCAUGGAGUAUGAAGAAGGCAUGAUUGGCUAUUUUAGUUAGCUCUCAUGCCACUGUGACAACAUGUCCAACAGGAACCAUUCAGGAAGAAAAGGUUCAGCUUGUCUCACGGUGGCAGAGGGCUGUCUGGCCCUGUGUGCUCAGGCAGAGCAUUGUGGCAGUGGGGCCUGUGGAAGAGCUGUCCACUUCUGACAGGGCGGCAGAGAGAGGAGAUGCAGGCAUGGCCAGGGCAUAGCACAGCCCAAGACACCCCGUAAGUAUUUAAGCUCGACACUCUUACUUUCUCCUCACUAAGGAAUCUGGGGUGAGUUUUGAAGCCAAUUAAAACAUUAACAAUUUACUAGUCAUAAGAACUCUAUGCUUUAAGACCUUGUGACUAACUUCAAAGUGGUCAUUUUCAACCUGUCGCUGUCUUGGCUCUUGGUUCUUGCUUUGCUUGCUGACUUUCUAAACCAUCUUUCAAAAGAUUUGAGUGCUUGAAAAUGUCUUAAUUAUUGAAGGGAGAAUGGAUUUCACUGGUAACAUCAUUUGCUUCAGAUGCCAUCAGAUCAUUCAAGCAAAGGAAAAUAUUAAA